AAUUGAAAGCAACAUCUAUUUUUCUGACUUGUAAAAAUGUGGUGUUACUAGCAAAUAUCAAAUUUUUGUAUCUAUAAACUAGAUUUUAACCCGCGGUAUACUAGGAGAACGAUUUAUUUUUUAAAGUUAAUAUAUAUACAAGUUUACAAAUUGAAUAUAUU
Molecule: small RNA, 161 nt
Filed under: Arabidopsis thaliana (thale cress)
Lineage: Eukaryota; Viridiplantae; Streptophyta; Magnoliopsida; Brassicales; Brassicaceae
Description: ATSL288460
Source: RNAcentral